GAUGUUUCAAAAUCUUGGUCUUUUCUACCUCGUCAACUUUGUUGAGGGAAAACAAGUUGAAAUGCCUCAGCAGACGAAACUUAAACUUACUGGGAAUCCACGUGGUCGUUUAGUGACAUAUUCAGAAACUCAGAGUCUGAUGGGUCUAAAAGAAAUUGCGGAGUCUUUGUCUGGAACUUUGA
This is a long non-coding RNA of Prunus avium (sweet cherry), 182 nucleotides long. RefSeq lists it as uncharacterized. NCBI's taxonomy places the organism in Eukaryota, Viridiplantae, Streptophyta, Magnoliopsida, Rosales, Rosaceae. The record is from RefSeq and is a predicted model, not a curated record.